Phyllostomus discolor (pale spear-nosed bat) is the source of this 5197-nucleotide RNA transcript. It is a transcript of the gene named serine/threonine kinase 11, with no coding region annotated. The record is from RefSeq and is a predicted model, not a curated record. Lineage: Eukaryota; Metazoa; Chordata; Mammalia; Chiroptera; Phyllostomidae. The transcript has 10 exons.
CGGCCCCGGGUGCCCGCGAGUGAGGUGGAGGUACGGACGGCGGCGGCAGCGGGGCCGGGCGGCAACGCGGCCGCCUUGCAUGGGCUGGGUCUCGGCCUCGCCCCUCCUGCUCCACGCGCGCGGUGGCAGCGGCUGGGGACGUGCCGCCCGGGCCCCGCUGCCUUGGGAACCCCCUGCCCGGUGUCUGUGGCCUGUUCCGCCUCGGCUGCCCGGUGUCCUACGGGCUCCUUUGCGCUUCGAGGGCUGCAGCGGACGACGUUCGGGGCGGAGAGCGAGCGCCGGCUGCCGUUUGGGUCGGCGGGCGGGGGGGGGGUGCCCGCGAGGCUGCUUGUGGAGGUCCCAGACCCGCUUGGGGGCUCCCAGGCGGCCCGCUCCGACGGAAGUUGCGCUCUGUGGCAGGAGGGCCCCAGGCGGCCUCCCGACACACGCACGGGCUGGCCUCAGCGGACCGAGCCGGAUAGGAACCUGCCACUUUUAGGGGAGCCUUGGACAGUGAGGCCGCCGGAGACGCCCCGGUCCCCAGCGAAGCUUAACUGCCCAGCUUUGGAGGCUCCGGGGCCUGCCCGGGCUCCAGGCGCGGGCUGUGGCUGGCUGGUAAUGGGCAACCAGGAGAAGACUUGGCUUGGCCGCGUCCGUUUUUGCCCGAGGGUCUAAAGUCCCUGGAGGAUGACCUAGCACUUCACAACCCCACCGGCCUUCCCAGGGUCCCCGUGGACACGCCGGCCCGACCUGUAGUUGGCAGGUCGGGUCGCACUUGCGACGCUGCUCCCCGUCGGAUGCCCGGGCCUCGGACCAGGCACGCCUCUUGAACUCACGUUUAGUACAAUCGUUUCUUUUCAAAGAAGGGGUUUUCUUUCUCUUUUUUUUCCUUUUGUGUUUUUGUUGACUUUUUUUUUUUUUUUUGAGAAGGGAAUUUGGGGUAGGGGAGAUAAAAAGAAGAAUCUGUCACCGGGGUAUCCCUAAAGGGGAUUAAGGGACCGCCGGUGGUGCGAAUCGGAUAUCUUGAGUCCAGAAUGGAUGUGGCAGACCCGCAGCAGCUGGGCAUGUUUACAGAGGGCGAGCUGAUGUCAGUGGGGAUGGACACGUUCAUCCACCGCAUCGACUCCACCGAGGUCAUCUACCAGCCCCGCCGCAAGCGGGCGAAGCUCAUUGGCAAGUACCUGAUGGGGGACCUGCUGGGGGAGGGGUCCUACGGCAAAGUGAAGGAGGUGCUGGACUCGGAAACGUUGUGCAGGAGAGCCGUCAAAAUCCUCAAGAAGAAGAAGUUGCGGAGGAUCCCCAAUGGGGAAGCCAACGUGAAGAAGGAAAUUCAGCUACUGCGGAGGUUGCGGCACAAAAACGUCAUCCAGCUAGUGGAUGUACUGUACAAUGAGGAGAAGCAGAAGAUGUAUAUGGUCAUGGAAUACUGCGUGUGCGGCAUGCAGGAGAUGUUGGACAGUGUGCCCGAGAAGCGGUUCCCUGUGUGCCAGGCUCAUGGGUACUUCUGCCAGUUGGUGGAUGGUCUGGAGUAUCUGCACAGCCAGGGCAUUGUGCAUAAGGACAUCAAGCCGGGCAAUCUGCUGCUUACCACCAGUGGCACACUUAAGAUCUCUGACCUGGGUGUCGCCGAGGCCUUGCACCCUUUCGCUGAGGACGACACGUGUAGGACAAGCCAGGGCUCCCCAGCGUUCCAGCCACCUGAGAUUGCCAAUGGCCUAGACACCUUCUCCGGCUUCAAGGUGGACAUCUGGUCGGCUGGGGUUACCCUCUACAACAUCACAACAGGCCUGUACCCCUUCGAGGGGGACAACAUCUACAAGUUGUUUGAGAACAUCGGGAAGGGGGACUACACGAUCCCAGGCGACUGCGGCCCCCCACUCUCGGACCUGCUGAAAGGGAUGCUGGAAUAUGAGCCAGCCAAGAGGUUUUCCAUCCAGCAGAUCAGGCAGCACAGCUGGUUCCGGAAGAAGCACCCACCAGCUGAGGAGCCGGUGCCCAUCCCACCAAGCUCGGACUGCAAGGACCGGUGGCGCAGUAUGACUGUGGUGCCCUACCUGGAGGACCUUCACGGCUGUGCUGACGAUGAAGGGGACGAGGACCUCUUUGACAUUGAGGACGACAUCAUCUACACUCAGGACUUCACCAUGCCUGGUGGCGAGGAGGCGUCUGAGGCAGGGCUUAUAGAGGAACAAAGCACCCAGCAGAGCCAGUGCCCAGACCUUUCUGCAGAGGAAGCUGAGGCCGGGGGCACACAGGAGCUCGAGGAGGAGCUCCAUGCUUAGCGUAGCCACCAUGCCCACCUGGGCUGUAGGGGCCAGGCCAAGCACCUCCCACGGGCCCACACUGACCCUGUCCGGGUGUCGGAGGGAGGCUGGGCAGUUUUCCCUGUGGCUGGUUGUAUCCCCUUGCAGCCUUCAUGGUUCUGUGAUGUUUUGGGACUGGUUCUGCAGUCCCCAUCAUAAAGGAUUGCCCAAUGUGUGUGCGUGUGGAAGGGGGUGAUGCUUAUGUUCUCUCCCUGGCUGUCAGCCUGAUGGUAGGUUUUUGUUUUGUUAAAAAUUGAUUUUUUGUUUUUAGAGAGAGAGAAGCGUGAUUUGUUGUUUCACUUUUUUAUGCAUUCAUUGGUGGGUUUGUUUUUUUUUUAAGAUUUUAUAUAGUUAUUUUUAGAGAGAGAAGGGAGGGGAAAAGAGAGAGAAAGAAACAUCAAUGUGUGGUUGCCUCUCACACGCUCCCUACUGGGGACCCGGCCCACAACUGAGGCAUGUUCCCUGACUGGGAAUCGAACCAGUGACUCUUUGGUUCACAGGCUGACACUCAAUGCACUGAGCCACACCAGCCAGGGCCAUUGGUGGAUUCUUGUGUGUGCCCUGACAGGGGAUUGGACCCACAGCCUUGGGGUAUCAGCACAACACUCUAACCAACUGAGCUACCUGCCAGGGUCCGGUGGUGGGUUUUUAUUGUAGAUAGAACCAGUGUGCAGCGGUAGCCUGCAGGGUGGGCAGGACCGCAGGAGCUGUGUCCCUGGUAGAGCUGGGCAGGGUCCAGAUCCUGUUGUUCUGGGGUCUAUGAUGCUCAUUGUAGCCAGCCACAGGGUCAGCUUAGACCUGGUGCCCCAGGGUCUCAAGUCACUGUGGCUUUGGCUUAGCCAUUUUCCUGUGGGGUUGGUCCUGGGGCCUGGAGUGCCUGGAGGCGAUACAUGUGUGGUGCUCUGGCCUGGGAGACCUGGCUGCAAUCCAGUCCUAGAUCUAAGGCCUCUUAGACCCUCUGUCCCCUCCUUCCCCUUCACAGAACAGGAAUGAGGUGUCUUCCCUCUCAGAGGCACUGAGACCUGUGACAGGUUACAGGCAUCUGGAUGUCAUCCUUACUGGCAGCACCUGGGUGUCAGCCACACCAGUAGGCAGUCUGUUGUCCUAACAAGGCUGAGUGAGGAUUCUAACAGGUUCCUGCAGCUGGCACCUAAGCACCUUUCAGGCCUGUGUGAGAGGCCAGGGUGGCCUUUCCCCAGUGGGGAUUCCCAGUCUGGGAAUGUCCUCUGGGCUAAGAUGUCAGGCAUCCACUUCUUUCUGACCUGCUGCGGGUCAGUGACGGGCUGUACUGGGGUCAGGACCCGUCACACUCUGGGUCACCCUCGGAGGCCCUCAGCUGUCCACACCACGGAGGUCCUGCCACCCACCCUGAGAGGUGAGCCUUGGACCAGCCAGUCGCUGCCUGCACAGUGCCUUGAGGGUGAGUGGGGCAGGUCUCAGAUGCUGUGCUGAUGGCUGGGCUCCAGGUCAUCCUCGCAGAGACCUCCUGACAUGCUCUGUCUAGCAGGAUCCUGUGAGGAGGGGUGAGCUCUGACCUGGGCACACAUGGGUGGGUGUGGCAAGUCGGAAGCCACUGGUUGGGCUCUGGACAUGCUUGGCAGAGAGGGGGCUCUGCUGGAAAGAGUUGGGGGCCCCAGGCACCUGAGGGCAGUUUCCCACCAAUGUCACAGGAGGGUAGGCCGGGUUUUGGUGUGCACUGGCUGAGCUUCGUGGGCCCCUCCCUGCAGGCCCCCUCUGUCUCAGUGAGUACAGAAGUGAAGCCCCAGGCCCAUGGCCCCCAGGACACCUCGAGGGUGAGGGUGGAGUCAUGGUAGGUCUCUGACUCUGAUCCCUUCAUCCCAGUGGGCUGUUUUGGGAGAGACACACCUGGCCUGAGCCCAACCCCUCCCAGGUCCCCCAUGUGCCAGCAAGGUGUGGCCUUGGAACAGAUGAGAGGGCCGAGGCUCUCAACCUUGUCCCAGGACCCUGGUCCUUAACCAGGUGUCUGGGUCUUGCCCUGGCUGGCUAGCCAGCUUGAGACCAGCUCUCCUUCUACCCGGGUAAGGGCCCCUGCAAACAAGACCUGGGUGGGACAGGUGGGGUCAUGCCUGGGGAACUGGGUGACUGUGUGGGGGUGGUAUUGGUCCAGGGCCCCCAUUAGCCUACACUUGUCCUCCCCCUCCUAGGACAAGUCCCAGAAGAGGAGGCCAGUCAGAAUGGACAGAGCUGGGGCCUGUCCAAGACCAUGUGCAUGAAUGGUACCGAUUCGGCGCAGCUGAGCACCAAAUCAAGGGCAGAGCGCCGGGCUAGUGCUGUCUCCAACCCUGCCCGCAAGGCCUGUUCUGCCAGUGGCAAGAUCCGUCGGCUUUCGGCCUGCAAGCAGCAGUGAGGGCGGUUGGCUGUAGCCCAUCUCUGAGAGUCCUGGCCAGAUGCCAUUGGCCCGGGUCCUCCUCAGUCUUCCCGACGACUGCUGGCCCACUGCCCACCAUCCAGGAAGGCCACUGCCAUACCCUUCGUGCUGACCACCCCUCAGGAAGCCAGGGGGUCCUGGAGGGCUGUGGCUGGGGAACAGCAGAGACUGGAGUCUACCCGCCUCCUCCCAGUUGUGGGCCGUGGACACAACCUCCGGUUGACUUUGCAAUCCCGUGCUGGGCCCUUUCCUGGCCAGGGGAGGGUGAGGCCAGGCCAUGGGGCCCGCACAGACCUCGCCAUGCACUUUACGUUUAGACUACUGGUUCUCGCCCGACUUCUCUUUACUUUGCUACACAGCACCUCCCACACCUAGUAAUGUGUUCAAACUGCAGUUAAGUGGGGUGGACUUAAGUGGGUAGAUGGGCCUGCCCACCGAGACGCAUGCCCAGUGCCCUCUGGAGCCAGGUGGCUGCCUUGUUUUUGUUGCUUGGUUGGUUCCUUUUCCUUUUUUUUUUUUUUUUUAA